Molecule: ribosomal RNA, 496 nt
Filed under: uncultured bacterium
Lineage: Bacteria
Description: partial 16S ribosomal RNA
Rfam family: Bacterial small subunit ribosomal RNA
Source: RNAcentral
GAUGAACGCUGGCGGCGUGCCUAAUACAUGCAAGUCGAGCGAACAGACGAGGAGCUUGCUCCUCUGACGUUAGCGGCGGACGGGUGAGUAACACGUGGAUAACCUACCUAUAAGACUGGGAUAACUUCGGGAAACCGGAGCUAAUACCGGAUAAUAUAUUGAACCGCAUGGUUCAAUAGUGAAAGACGGUUUUGCUGUCACUUAUAGAUGGAUCCGCGCCGCAUUAGCUAGUUGGCAAGGUAACGGCUUACCAAGGCGACGAUGCGUAGCCGACCUGAGAGGGUAAUCGGCCACACUGAACUGAGACACGGUCCAGACUCCUACGGGAGGCAGCAGUAGGGAAUCUUCCGCAAUGGGCGAAAGCCUGACGGAGCAACGCCGCGUGAGUGAUGAAGGUCUUCGGAUCGUAAAACUCUGUUAUUAGGGAAGAACAAAUGUGUAAGUAACUAUGCACGUCUUGACGGUACCUAAUCAGAAAGCCACGGCUAACUACGUG